UGGGUGCGACGUGGGGCUGCUGCGGCGCUCCUUGCUGCUUAGGGCUAGGGCUGCUUCUUUUUUGUUUUUUUUUUGUUCUGGGCUAGAAUUUGUUUUGGGCUGCUUAUUUGUUGGGUUUGAACUGUUUUUGUUUUGUUCGGACCCAAGCUGAUUAGGACUUAUUACAACACUGAUUGUGUAUUAAAUACAAAUCUAAUAUAUACAUAUUGUAUCUAGUAAUUAAUACAAACUUGUACCGAGAUUAUAGAUUGACAUGAAAAAUCAUAAGAGUACUGUAAACGUGAAAAUAAUCUUAAAAUGUUUAAGAGUGAGUUUGGAUGGAUGGUGUGUUUACUUACGGUUAAUGUAAAAAUAACA
RNAcentral lists this long non-coding RNA (357 nucleotides) under Gossypium raimondii (Peruvian cotton). RNAcentral describes it as "long non-coding RNA (GRAI_LNC001814)". The record is from RNAcentral. Lineage: Eukaryota; Viridiplantae; Streptophyta; Magnoliopsida; Malvales; Malvaceae.